CACGCAGGCGGUCUGCUAAGUUCGGAGUGACAGUCACCAGCUUAACUGGUGAAGGACUUUGAAAACUGGCGGACUUGAGAGCGAGAGAGGGACAUGGAAUUUCGGGUGGAGCAGUGAAAUGCGUAGAUAUCCGGAGGAACACCAAAGGCGAAGGCAGUGUCCUGGCUCGUAUCUGACGCUGAGGUGCGAAAGCUAGGGGAGCGAACGGGAUUAGAUACCCCGGUAGUCCUAGCCGUAAACGAUGACCACUAGGUGUGGGAGGUAUCGACCCCUUCCGUGCCGCAGUUAACACAGUAAGUGGUCCGCCUGGGGAUACGGUCGCAAGACUAAA
This 331-nucleotide ribosomal RNA is filed under the name uncultured bacterium. RNAcentral describes it as "bacterial SSU rRNA". It matches the Rfam family "Bacterial small subunit ribosomal RNA", at positions 568 to 898 of the family's 1533-position model. The record is from RNAcentral.